CCUGCUCACCUUUGAAGUCCUGCUGGUUCACAGACUGGAUGGCCGCAAUACAUUCUCCUGUAUCUCCAUAUCUGUCCCCCUUUGGCUUUUGUUACUAACUUUAAUGACCACAACAUUUAGGCCAAAAAGGGGCAAUCAUUGGUGGUUUGGUAUUCGCAGAGACUUCUGCCAGUUUCUGCUUGAAAUUUUCCCAUUUUUAAGAGAAUAUGGGAACAUUUCAUAUGAUCUCCAUCAGGAAGAUAGCGAAGGUGCUGAAGAAACAUUGGUUCCAGAAGCUCCGAAAAUUGCUCCAGUGUUUGGGAAGACCAGGUAGUUUUAAUCCCUGGGAAAUAUGUUCCCCCACCUCCCAAGUUAAAUAUUGAUAUGCCAG
RNAcentral lists this long non-coding RNA (370 nucleotides) under Homo sapiens (human). RNAcentral's name for it is "non-protein coding lnc-TIGD6-2:1". Lineage: Eukaryota; Metazoa; Chordata; Mammalia; Primates; Hominidae. The record is from RNAcentral.